Molecule: ribosomal RNA, 1575 nt
Filed under: Triticum aestivum (bread wheat)
Lineage: Eukaryota; Viridiplantae; Streptophyta; Magnoliopsida; Poales; Poaceae
Description: partial small subunit ribosomal RNA
Source: RNAcentral
AUGACCCGCCGCCGCCGCCGCCGCCGUGCACGCCCCGCCUCGCCACCGGCGGCGCUGGAAGACGACGACCUCCUACGGAAGAUUUUCCUCCUCCUCCCACCUCAGCCGUCCACCCUUCCCCGCCUCUCCGUCGUCUGCAAGCAGUGGCGCGACGUCGUCACCGACCCCCAGUUCCUCCGCGGCUUCCGCGACCAACACAGGAAACCUCCCCUCCUCGGCCUCGUCAUGGGCCACACCGGGUCCCCCUACUUCAGGUCCGAUCUCGACCCUCCAGACCACAUCCCGCACGAGCGCUUCUUCCCUCGAGACAUCCGCAGCAUGAACAUGGACAUAUUCGACUGCCGCCAUGGGCGCGUCGUCUUCUUCGCCCAACGGCUGGGCGAGGUCGUGCUGUUUGACCCCGCCACGGGAGGCCGCCGUUGUGUGGUCGUUCCACCAGUGUUUCACGGAAAGGAGAUUGGCGUCUUCAACGCCGCUGUGAUUUGUGUUUCCGGCGACGAAGGCCACGUGCACGGCGAUUGCCACACCAGCCCAUUUCAGGUGGUCUUGAUAGGUAUCCACGAUGACAAUAAACGAGCAUUUGCCUCGGUCUACUCAUCGGAGACCGGAACAUGGGGCGAGCUCAUCUCAACAGCAGCAAUUCGGUAUAUGUGUGAACUGAACCGUCCCAGUACCCUUGUAGGGGAUUCUGUUUAUUGGGUGUUUGAUGGCAAUGAGGAUGGCAUACUCAAGUUUGAUUUAGAUAGGCAUAGCCUAGUUAAUAUCGAGAUGCCGGAUUUCAUGUAUUAUAACUGCUCGAGCAGCUUUAAGAUCAUGUCGACAGAUGAUGGCAGUUUUGGCCUUGCUGCCUUGGAAUACCAAAAAUUCGAAAUGUGGGAGAGGGAAGUCGAUUGUGAUGGUGUUGCUGGAUGGGUGCUGCAGAAGACCUUCGAACUGAACACGAUCCUUGGUCUAGGGCCUAUGGGAGGAUGUGAUAAUCUCAUGUUGGGGUACGAUGAAGAUGAUCGUGCGAUUUAUGUAAAGACAGAUAUUGGUGUCUGCAUCAUUCAGCUUGAGACAAUGCAGUUCAGAAAUCUUGGCAAAGAUAAUUUCACGACCACCGCCUAUUAUCCGUACAAAAGUUUCUAUACUGCAGUGAGUGACUUGGCAGUAUGCGAGAGGACUGGUGACCUCUUUGCACCUCUUGCAAAUGAUUACCUCCUUGCUUCAUGGGGUGUAGGAGCAGUAGGAGGUAAUGAAGCAGCUACCUCGAGUGAAACCUUACCGGAUGGAGGUACGGUCGGCAUGUCAAAGCACAUAGAUCAAGGAAAGGAUGCAGAUCCUGUGCCUAGCCGCGCACUAAAACAAACACGAAUUGACGUGAUAUUCAAGAAGGAGACCGAGACAAGAUCAAAGCUUAGCAAAGCUUGGGCAAAAUGGUUUCGGAGCAAUGGUGUUCCUGGAAAUAAAGCAGACUGCCCACUCUUUCGUAGUGCCUUGAAGCUAACACAGCAGCUAGGUACCCGGUUCAUUGCUCCUACAGGCAACGAAAUAGACGGUGCAAAUCUGGAUGCCAGUGAUGAAGAACUUCCGUAG